CGCCGAAAAUGGCGUCGGAAAUGACGCCAUUAACGCGAUUUAGCAUUUUUUUUCUCAAAAGAUUUUACAUAAUAGAUAUGUCAUGUGAGCUCUGUCUGACUUGUAUAUGUCUAAUCUGCUUGUAAACAUUGUUUUGGGGUCGUUUUUCGGGCACAGGAUUACUCUCCGUAGAACAUAAAGUGGUGGAUUUUACUCCAGUGAAUAUCCAUCACAGAAAAGACUCAAAGAAGCUCCAGGCCUUCAGACGGAACACAGGGUAGCAGAGCCCAGUCAUUCUGGCGAUGGUUAAACCAGACUGUGGAGUCAGGUGUUUCAGGAGGCGGUGGAGAGGGUAGAAUAAGACCGCGGUAGACCUGCUGUCACACCUGCAGGACUCACCUCAGCAUCCUGCCUGGGGUGAUGAUGGUGGUGAUGAUAGUGGUGGUGCUCAUCAGAAGCCUGUCUCUUCACUGGGUUCACAGCAAGGCGCUACACCUGCUGUCUGAGGUGUGAAUGUGUUCUAGUUCUUAUGGACAACAAUAUUUCUGAACCUAAAAUUUGUAGUUUAUAUAAGCAAACUUGUGGCCAAACUCUACAACAUGUAAGAAGCAGGAUAUAUAUACAGUACAACACACAGUUUUGCUUAUAUCCUUCUGCAAGGAGGUGAGGUUUUCCCACAACCAACUUCAACAAUUGUAACAUAUUUGUAAUGUUCUGUAGCAAAUAAUCAACAGAAUGAUGUGGGCUUUAAUAUCAGUGGAACCUACUCACCUGCUGAGUGACUCUACCACUUAUUGCACUUCACUCGGCUUAUAUAACCUGAGUCAUAGGCCAACAUAUACCUCCAAGUCCAAGCUGGAGUCUGUUCAGAUGUCUGAAAGGGAACAGGAGACGCAACAAGCUGGGGAUGAGUCUUUUUAUCCUGAAUGUGUUAGAGGUGUAAUGGUUCAGAAAUUCUCUCCACGUGUCUUGUCGUCCCGUCUUGUUUUGUACAUCAGAGGUUUGCUGUCUGUUCCCAGGACGCCACCAUCAAAAGCACAAGCGUUUGAUGAUUUUAAACAGAGUCGAGGCAACAAAUUUAACCGCAUCUUUAAAGAGAACAAUUGCUGCUGGAACACUGCAGUCUUCUACAGCAGCUGGGUGUUACAGUGAAGGUUACACACAAUAAUUCUUCAUUUUCCAGAAUUGUGAAACAGUAUAAAAUGGCUUUCCUUUUACCUAAGGAGAAGCUGAAAAUAACUAUGAAUGAGAACUUUGUAUUCAGGAGCAAAGUUGCUGUUUUUCUGUUAUUCAAAUAUUGUAUGAACCUUCAGCAACUUUUUAUUACUUCCAA
Molecule: long non-coding RNA, 1312 nt
Organism: Betta splendens (Siamese fighting fish)
Lineage: Eukaryota; Metazoa; Chordata; Actinopteri; Anabantiformes; Osphronemidae
Exons: 3
Source: RefSeq, a predicted model, not a curated record